GAUCGAAAGGGGAAAUUCAAUCGCGUUUCGACAAAUAAUGUCGGAGUUUGACGUUCGCGUGACGAACGGCGUUCGCGUCGUUCGCGCCCUACGUUAAACUAAACCGACGUCGAACGCGUGCACUUUUCCCCUAGUAGGACGUCGCGAUCCGUUGGGCGUCUGUCUAAGACUCCGUGUGGAGCCCGUUUCGGGCGUUUAGGCGCUUAAUUCGGACCACGGAUGUUUUCCGACAGACUCGCUCGACGGUAAGCUAAAGGCGCGAGGCCGCUACUUUAAUAAGUUAGCGUUCGGCCCGUAGCAAGCACGUUUCGAGUUAGGCGGCGAUCGGACCUGGUGCCGGUUCCGCCCCUUAACGACUGUUGGUUGCGGUGUUCUCGAACAGACCUCGU
This 389-nucleotide ribosomal RNA is filed under the name Lanka ramakrishnai. RNAcentral describes it as "partial 28S ribosomal RNA". The record is from RNAcentral. Lineage: Eukaryota; Metazoa; Arthropoda; Insecta; Coleoptera; Chrysomelidae.